Molecule: ribosomal RNA, 253 nt
Filed under: uncultured bacterium
Lineage: Bacteria
Description: partial 16S ribosomal RNA
Rfam family: Bacterial small subunit ribosomal RNA
Source: RNAcentral
UACAGAGGGGGCAAGCGUUGUUCGGAAUUACUGGGCGUAAAGGGCGCGUAGGCGGCCCGCUAAGUCGAACGUGAAAUCCCCGAGCUCAACUCGGGAACUGCGUCUGAUACUGGAUGGCUUGAGUUCGGGAGAGGGAUGCGGAAUUCCAGGUGUAGCGGUGAAAUGCGUAGAUAUCUGGAGGAACACCGGUGGCGAAGGCGGCAUCCUGGACCGACACUGACGCUGAGGAGCGAAAGCCAGGGGAGCAAACGGG